Molecule: ribosomal RNA, 389 nt
Filed under: Nephroselmis sp.
Lineage: Eukaryota; Viridiplantae; Chlorophyta; Nephroselmidophyceae; Nephroselmidales; Nephroselmidaceae
Description: partial small subunit ribosomal RNA
Rfam family: Eukaryotic small subunit ribosomal RNA
Source: RNAcentral
AUUCCAGCUCCAAUAGCGUAUAUUUAAGUUGUUGCAGUUAAAAAGCUCGUAGUUGGAUUUCGGGUGGGCGAGGCCGGUCCGCCGUCUCGGUGUGCACUGGCUGCGCCCAUCUUCUUGCUGGGGACGCGCUCCUGGCCUUUGUUGGCUGGGACGUGGAGUCAGCGAUGUUACUUUGAAAAAAUUAGAGUGUUCAAAGCAGGCCUUGGCUCUGAAUACAUUAGCAUGGAAUAACACGAUAGGACUCUGGUCCUAUUUUGUUGGUCUUCGGGACCGGAGUAAUGAUUAAUAGGGACAGUCGGGGGCAUUUGUAUUCAAACGACAGAGGUGAAAUUCUUGGACCGUUUGAAGACAAACUACUGCGAAAGCAUUUGCCAAGAAUGUUUUCAUUA